UUAGUUUACUAAUGGAGCGGUUAGUGGCGGACUGGUGAGUAACACGUAAGCAACCUGCCUAUCAGAGGGGAACAACAGUUAGAAAUGACUGCUAAUACCGCAUAUGCCUUAGCAACACAUGUUGCAAAAGGGAAAGGAGCAAUCCGCUGAUAGAUGGGCUUGCGUCUGAUUAGAUAGUUGGUGGGGUAACGGCCUACCAAGUCGACGAUCAGUAGCCGGACUGAGAGGUUGAACGGCCACAUUGGGACUGAGAUACGGCCCAGACUCC
Molecule: ribosomal RNA, 268 nt
Filed under: uncultured Oscillospiraceae bacterium
Lineage: Bacteria; Bacillati; Bacillota; Clostridia; Eubacteriales; Oscillospiraceae
Description: partial 16S ribosomal RNA
Rfam family: Bacterial small subunit ribosomal RNA
Source: RNAcentral